Molecule: unclassified non-coding RNA, 620 nt
Filed under: Malassezia restricta
Lineage: Eukaryota; Fungi; Basidiomycota; Malasseziomycetes; Malasseziales; Malasseziaceae
Description: partial miscellaneous RNA
Source: RNAcentral
CGACCUAGUCGACUACAUCCUACUGUAUCCUACACAAUGGAGGUGUGUAUGGUAGGUCACACCCUACCCCACUUUCCAUUGCCACCUUACUUACCCCCCUCUCUCCGACACCCGUGCACACACAUUCACGCCUGUCUAUGUGUUGUCCUCCUGUGUGUCCUCCUCCUCCAAGAGUCUAAUUUCUUUCUCUCUCUCUCUAGUCAGUCUACUUGCCCAUGGAGUGUAUAUAUAUAAUAAGGCUCUGAUCUAUAUACAAUAUAUAUACACAUAUACGUAUGCAUAAAAUCCAGAGGGCACACAUCAAUGUAUACAGAUUCAUAUACCUAUGUAUACACAACUUGGCCUUAGUGGACAGCGGGGUGGUCAACUCGUCGACGAACAAACAAUCCACGGCGAUCACAGCGACCACAGCUAAGUAGCACGCAGUCUCGCCUCCCGCCCCCCUGCCCUGCUGCUCAGGGUCUGUGUGUGGUUGUUCGCCUCGCGAAUGGAGGCUUGUAUCUCCGAACAUACACGCCCGUGCUCUUGCCCGCCUUUCCUCCUCAGCUCUCCGUCUCCCAUGCUGCCCCCCCUCCCCGCAUUUUUGGCCUGUUUUGUACGAGAGCUAGACAUGCUCUUCC